Molecule: unclassified non-coding RNA, 391 nt
Filed under: Hevea brasiliensis (rubber tree)
Lineage: Eukaryota; Viridiplantae; Streptophyta; Magnoliopsida; Malpighiales; Euphorbiaceae
Source: RNAcentral
AACAUUGUUGGUCAGUGGGCUGUCACAACAAGUGUAGAUUAUUCAUUGGCUCAGUUAGUUCAGGUAAUAAUUCUUCUUAGCACUGGUGGAUUAAAUGGUGGCGGAUAUCAGGCCUCCAAAUAUGUGGUUAUCGCCCUUCACGCUGGAAUUCUGCUUUUACAUGCUUUAUUAAACAGUCUUCCGAUUUCAUGGCUGUCCUUCAUUGGACAACUAGCCGCUGCAUGGAAUGUUUUAGGUGUCUUUCUUCUUAUGAUUUUGAUCCCAAUGGUUGCAACAGAAAGAGCUAGCGCUAAAUUUGUGUUUACUAACUUCAACACUGUCAAUGAGGAUGGAAUCAACAAUAAACUCUACAUCUUCGUCCUUGGACUUCUCAUGAGCCAGUAUACAUUGA